Molecule: long non-coding RNA, 1396 nt
Organism: Acipenser ruthenus (sterlet)
Lineage: Eukaryota; Metazoa; Chordata; Actinopteri; Acipenseriformes; Acipenseridae
Exons: 2
Source: RefSeq, a predicted model, not a curated record
GUGAGUGGCAAUGGUUGGCAAAUUUCUAUUUAGUUUUUCCCGUUCUGUGUUUUUUAUGGUUUAGAUAUCUGCAUGCAGCUCAAGAUCAGACUUUGAAGCAGACUUUUUUCUGGAGGUUCUAGGUUUGUCUUGAUUUUGAAAAUACAGACAGACUAGCCACAUUUCUGUAUCACUAAAGAGUAUGAAUUCAUACAUUUAGUAUUUACGUAAGGUCAUUCUCAAAACUGUGACUGGUUAACUGGUCUGAUGUGUUGAGUUUGCUGUUUUGAGUGUGUGUGUGUGUGUGUGUGUUUUUAUUCUUCAGUGUCAAAAGAGUUAAACACUUGCCGAUCAGUUACCUAAACUACUGAACCUGGCACUGAAUCUCCUGUGUGUGAGAAACAGGUGACAAACACCUGUGGUGGCAGUGUGUUGUUUUUCUACGGCACCUGAAAUUAUGUAUUGUGAACCCUCAAUCUCUUAGAUGAGUAUGCGAAUGCGAUAAUUCAUGAAAAAAGAACAAAAGAUUUAUUUGAACUUUUCUUGGCUUUUGUUGUAUUAGAAUGGUAAUGUUUACACAUAUAUUUGUGUAAAAUACAAAUAUAAUAGAGAAUAAAAAUUUUGCUAACUUUACACAAAAUACUGGCAUUCAAAAACAGUAAUUUUCCAUAACAAAACAACUGUUGUUCUCUUAUCCUUGUGCAACUUCCACAGCCUAUCGUCUUCAGCUUCGUAAACACCCCUAAUUUGGCUUGAAAGUCGGAAAACAUUUGCUGUACAAACAAAGGUGUUGAUUUAAACCAGUUUUGCAAACCUACGUCAGCUUUUAAUUGGUAGUUGUUGGGUUAUCCUGAAUAAACUUCAAUGAGAGGUGCUGCUAAGAUGUUUUGGUUAGUACAGCUGUAUGUAUAUACUGUAUAUCAAAGUUGUGACUUAAACAAGGAAAGGGCUGUACGUACUGUAUGCAGACUAGGUUUUAAGAGGACCCAUUUGUAUUAGUUUGAUUUUGUGCCAGUUUGUGUGUUUGAUUGCUGAUGUGCAUGGGAGGGUAACUCUUAAAAUGUGUGUCCAUUUCCCAUAAACAAGUAACAAAAGUCUCACACUGCUUUAGGUGAAGCAGGUUGAAGCAAAUAACCAGAAGUCCAACACGUUUAUGUGCUACUUAUUGAGCUACUUCCAGAGGAAGAUGAGCCUGAGCGGCCUGCAGAGACCCGGAAGCACUUCCCACACUCCUAUCAUGUGCUUAAGCCCCAUGCCGAGACAAGUCAGGACACAAAGGAGUACAGGAAAAACAUGAUGCUGUAACUAAAGAUCAGCGAUUCACUGAAUCGUGUAACUACUGCUAGUGGUGUUCGAUUCUCUCCAUGUCUGUUUUAGAAAACACGAUAGAAAGAAAAUAAACAUGCAUUCCAAAAUG